AUCCGAGUGCUGGAAUUGGUAGACAGGACGAACUUAAGCUUCGUUGAUAUAUAAUCAUAAAGGUUCGAUUCCUUUUUCGGAUA
This is a non-coding RNA of Aplosporella prunicola CBS 121167, 83 nucleotides long. Lineage: Eukaryota; Fungi; Ascomycota; Dothideomycetes; Botryosphaeriales; Aplosporellaceae. The record is from the annotation of a RefSeq genome assembly.